AUUGAACGCUGGCGGCAUGCUUUACACAUGCCAGUCGAACGGCAGCGCGGGCUUCGGCCUGGCGGCGAGUGGCGAACGGGUGAGUAAUGCAUCGGAACGUGCCCAGUAGUGGGGGAUAGCCCGGCGAAAGCCGGAUUAAUACCGCAUACGACCUGAGGGUGAAAGCGGGGGACCGAAAGGCCUCGCGCUAUUGGAGCGGCCGAUGUCGGAUUAGCUAGUUGGUGGGGUAAAGGCUUACCAAGGCGACGAUCCGUAGCUGGUCUGAGAGGACGACCAGCCACACUGGGACUGAGACACGGCCCAGACUCCUACGGGAGGCAGCAGUGGGGAGUUUUGGACAAUGGGGGCAACCCUGAUCUAGCCAUGCCGCGUGCGGGAAGAAGGCCUUCGGGUUGUAAACCGCUUUUGUUCGGGAAGAAAUCCUCUGGGCUAAUACCCCGGGGGGAUGACGGUACCGGAAGAAUAAGCACCGGCUAACUACGUG
RNAcentral lists this ribosomal RNA (484 nucleotides) under uncultured bacterium. RNAcentral describes it as "partial 16S ribosomal RNA". It matches the Rfam family "Bacterial small subunit ribosomal RNA", at positions 28 to 507 of the family's 1533-position model. The record is from RNAcentral.